RNAcentral lists this ribosomal RNA (497 nucleotides) under uncultured bacterium. Its description in RNAcentral is "partial 16S ribosomal RNA". It matches the Rfam family "Bacterial small subunit ribosomal RNA", at positions 28 to 507 of the family's 1533-position model. The record is from RNAcentral.
GAUGAACGCUGGCGGCGUGCCUAAUACAUGCAAGUCGAGCGAACGGACGAGAAGCUUGCUUUUCUGAUGUUAGCGGCGGACGGGUGAGUAACACGUGGAUAACCUACCUUUAAGACUGGGAUAACUUCGGGAAACCGGAGCUAACACCGGAUAAUAUUUUAUACCGCAUGGUUCAACAGUGCAAGACGGUCUUGCUGUCACUUAUAGAUGGAUCCGCGCUGCAUUAGCUAGUUGGUAAGGUAACGGCUUACCAAGGCAACGAUGCAUAGCCGACCUGAGAGGGUGAUCGGCCACACUGGAACUGAGACACGGUCCAGACUCCUACGGGAGGCAGCAGUAGGGAAUCUUCCGCAAUGGACGAAAGCCUGACGGAGCAACGCCGCGUGAGUGAUGAAGGUCUUCGGAUCGUAAAACUCUGUUAUUAGGGAAGAACAUAUGUGUAAGUAACUGUGCACAUCUUGACGGUACCUAAUCAGAAAGCCACGGCUAACUACGUG